CUCAGAUAUUGAUGAAGUCCGAAAGAAGUUCGGAGAAUAGUUGAUCACUGUAGAAGGUCGGCUGAUAGUGAGGCCUAGAGAGCCUUUGGAGCGGCCCGAUAGAUGGAUGGAGAAGCUCAUUGUCGGAGAAGUCAGGAUGGUAUUAUAGAAGCUCGGACGGUCGAGGGGGUUCAGAGAGACGCCACACAAGGUCGGAAGUCAAAAAUUCCUGAAAGGGUCGGUCCUUUACAAACUUCGACUGGGGGUAUUUUAUACCCAACAUCAGUCUCCCUACUUUCGAGUUUGGAUUUCGAAAGAAGAAAGUACAGAGGAAUUCUCACAGUCGAAGUGUCCCUCCUCGAUUUUUGCACUCGGUGGUUACCAGAUACGGCGUUUGGCACGCUGGUGCCGGAGUCUUUUCAAAUCAAAGCGAUCUGAAAAGAUUUUUUCGAAAUUUUCACUGGGACGUGGCUCUAGGUAUGGCGCAAUAAUGACUUUGUCAGCUGUUAGCCAUUUUCAGUAGCCUGUCAUACUGAGUGGGACAUGCGGCAAGUGUAGGUCAGCCAGAGGAGAUCCACGAUCAUAACUGCUCCGAGUCCUGUUGCCUAUUUAAACACGUCCUCCUCCUUCAGGGGUUUCACUAUGCCUGAGAGAGUCCCUCGAUUUCCACCUCUUCCCCGAGAGCUCCAGCCUCCUUUAGCAUCCUUCUCGACCUUAGGCAUCCUCUGAGUCGACUUCCAUCAUCCUUGCCAUCUUCCUGCACUCCUCGAGCCAACCUAGGUUAGUUCCGGAACUUCUUACCAUUUUUCUGUUCUUUCUUCUUUGUAUUCCAUUCAUUUAGCUCCUUCGAGAGCUUGUUCGCUAUUUUUCUCGAUUUUUUUUUCAAAAUUUUUGUGGCUUCUAUUUGAUCCAAAAUGUCUUCCGAUAUCUCCUCUUCUAGCGGUUCUAGGAGUUCGUCAGCCUCAGUUUUUCAGAGUCCUUGUACUAUAGACGGACCCGUAGCCAGGACCGAACCUCGUCUGGUCUUUGUGCCGGACACCAUCUCCAGCUCUUUGACUCCGAAUGAACUCUCAUUGAUAAUGAUUCAGUAUGGAGUUCCUCCGGAGUACGAGCUGAAGCUUCUCGGGCCAACUGACCGGGCUAGCGUCCCUCCUCCUGGCCGCUUCUGUCUGUAUCAGGAGGCCUUCCGUGUUGGACUUCAGCUUCUACUUCCGUCUUUUGUCAUCGCCUUCUUUCAUUUUCUGAAUAUUUUUCUAGUCUCAGUAGCACUGAACUCCUUUAGAUUUUUGAUAGGAUUUCUUUCUCUUUGUAGAUUUUUGAUAGGAGUAAACCGCUCGUAGUAGAAGUUCAGAGUAGACCGCUCGUAGUAGAAGUUCGGAGUAGACCGCUCAUAGUAGAAGUUCGACUCUCGCAGGAGCUCGGUUGGAAUACUAAAGGCGGUCGAUCACCGUAGAAACUUGGAUGGGGUCUGAUUACUGUAGAAAUCUUGUUGUCGGAGAAGCUCGGAUAUUGAUGAAGUCCGAAAGAAGUUCGGAGAAUAGUUGAUCACUAUAGAAGAUUGGCUGAUAGUGAGGCCCAGAGAGCCUUUGGAGCGGCCCGAUAGAUGGAUGGAGAAGCUUAUUGUCGGAGAAGUCCGGAUGGUAUUAUGAAAGCUCGGACGGUCGAGGGGGUUCAGAGAGACGCCACACAAGGUCGGAAGUCGGAAAAGUCCUGAAAGGGUCGGUCCUUUACAAACUUCGGCUGGGGGUAUUUUAUACCCAACACUAGUCUCCCUCCUUCCGAGUUCAGGUUCCGAAAGAAAGACGUACAGAG
This 1791-nucleotide long non-coding RNA is filed under the name Elaeis guineensis (African oil palm). RNAcentral describes it as "long non-coding RNA (EGUI_LNC075252)". The record is from RNAcentral. Lineage: Eukaryota; Viridiplantae; Streptophyta; Magnoliopsida; Arecales; Arecaceae.